GUGUAAAAAAUUAAAAAACAAAAACAACUAUGAACUCAAAUUUUGGCCAAUGUUUGUGACUAAAUGGAUACUAAAAAAGACUGGACAUACUCCGUUUUAAAAACUCUGGGUUGUCUACUUUUUCAAAAGGUAUGCCAUGAUGGGGGUAAUUCUCAUUCCUGGGCUGUCAUACAUUCUCAAAGUCAACAUUGAUCCAGCAAACCAAUCUGGCAAAUUAUAAUAUGUAAAAACUGAAAUGGACAAGCUCUGACAACUUGAUUCUGUAACUUUUCAAAAC
Non-coding RNA from Pelobates cultripes (western spadefoot toad), 277 nucleotides. NCBI's taxonomy places the organism in Eukaryota, Metazoa, Chordata, Amphibia, Anura, Pelobatidae. The record is from the annotation of a GenBank genome assembly.